This 3404-nucleotide long non-coding RNA is filed under the name Lepisosteus oculatus (spotted gar). RNAcentral describes it as "lncRNA (ENSLOCG00000022994.1)". The record is from RNAcentral. Lineage: Eukaryota; Metazoa; Chordata; Actinopteri; Semionotiformes; Lepisosteidae.
UCCUGAGCCACUAUAAACAGAGGUCUGUUGCUUGUUCACCCUCUCGUGUCGGGUUUUAAUGAACUACACUGUGUUGUAAUUACAGGUAGUCACGCUUCGACCGCUUCUCCCCCUCCCUCUCGAAUGCUCCGUUGACUUUCCCGUGUUUGAGUACGGAACGCAACUGUCGGAGUUGGGCUGGAUUGGACGGAUGGUCGCUUACGUUACGCUUGCGCUGCGCCGACGUGUCGCUUCCGGUGUGAAUUUGGGAACUGCAGGAAUUCGUCCUGGAACUGCAGGAAUCCCUCACACCCACUUGGUGUUUCAGGAUAGGGUGCUGUCAGGCAGUCGACUAUUUCAGCUCAGCUGCACUGUGAGACCGCCGCAGGGGAGACCCUCACAGACUCCGCCCAGUCUUGCUGGCUCUGCAGCUGUCGCUUUCAAGCAGGGAUCCCUAACCUUGAAAGCUGGGAACAGGCUCGUCCGAUUUCAUGGGAGAAACGGCCGGGUCUGGGCAAAGCUUGGAUUGAACAAAAUUAAGGAAAAGAUGCUUUUUCAUGGACCACAAGUUUGUCUAGGGGACAGUGUGGAGACUCCCACAUGCAGAUUACAAUAUUGCAGAGGAGAACAGGCUACGUGGCCCAUGUUGUGCAUUACAAGUGAGAUUAAUGUACAUUGUAACUGGGUAGUAAUACUAGUAACGUUCUAGAUAGGAAGUGGAGGAUCCAAAAAUUCCAUCAAUGGGUUCCACAGUGUCAGUUUUUCAAACUUCCUCUACUCUUCCUUGACCACAAACUGGGAAGAUCCCUGUGUAAAUUUGUCUCAGUUUUCCCAGCCGUGAUGAGCUGGAUCAGUGUUGAUUCAUCCCUUUAUGGUGCUCAGUGAUUCUCUGAUUAGAUCUUUCUGGCGAAAAGACAAUGCAAGGAUGCCUUAGCAGACUAUACCCCUCUCAUCCUUGACAAUACUUCACCAGUGAUGUUGCCCCUGUAGGAGCAAAGCAUUGGCAAAGUCUGGAUACAAACCAGUAACUCUGCUACCUUGUCAUCCCAGGUCACGUCAAUUGUGAUGUAUAUUACAGUUUUACCCUUGGCUGGCUGCUAUCGUUUAAAAAUGAAUGAAGCUGCAAUGAGUUAAUUUAGGCCCAGCCCUCGUGUGGACUUAAUGGCUGGAGGACUGGAGCUCUUCCCUUGUCUUUUCACUCGCUGGGCCUGAAACCCUGGAUUCCCCUACAGGAAACAUUUUGUUGAAGUAGGGCAUUCAUUUCAUUCGAGUGAACAAAUUUGCUUUCCUCAGACAAUGAAGCUGAAAAAAGGAACUUUCUUUGAAAAAUGCUAAAAUCCAGAAGCCCCUUCAAAUCUUAUGCAGUAUUCAAAAACGUCUUGACUCAGGCUUUCUGCAGAGGAUUUACUAUGCUACUGCUCACCUCGGGUGUGUGUUUCAAAUCAAACAGGUACUCAAAAAAGCAUGUACAGUAUGUGCAAGUGCACAUAUAAACUGAAAAUAUAAAUCGUUAAGGCACUACAUACAUGUAGUCCAUCAUACAUUGCAUUAAACAAAUUAAUUCAUGAGGUUAUUUGUACAAGAACCUCAAGCUGAGCUUCAGUCACACCUGUUUUCAAAUCUGAGGCUGCUGCUGGUUACAGCCUUUGACUGGAGAAGAAAAGGCAAAUCCUGACUACACUGCAGUACCAUCAGCACAUCAUCCUCAUAUGUUUCACUUAAAGUCUCCCAUCCCUAGAAGAAAAAGAGAAAAAUAUUUUAAAGAUGUUAACUCUAGCAAACGUACUAAAAACAUAUGAAUCAAUGCAAUCAACACUUCUGUACAACGUUAUGACAAAGAAACAGCCUGUUCCAGAAUGGCAGACCUCAGACUUGACACUGGGUCAAGGCUACAGGCCUUCCUUCUAAGAUCCUGUGAUGAAUUAAGGGCAAAAACUGCAUCCGCCUUCUCUCUACAAACACAAGAAUGCAGUACAGGCCAGAUGUGAAUUAAGCAACGGAAAUAUGGCCAGCUUCUCCAAAUCAAACCAAGAUACAGUAGGUUCACAACAUCAAUAUCUAAGAUCUGAAUGUGGUGUAAAGCAUGCAGCUUGCUUAGAGAAAAAUGAUGCUCGUUACUUAUUGUAAUACAAUUCUUCAGGUUAUUUAUGCUCAUCCUAAAGGACGUUUGUGCUUUGAGAACUUAAUAUUGACUGCAUAUAUAACUGACACGUCAGGUCAGAGUCAAACAUUAAGAAACACACUGUGCAAGAUAACAUUCAAUCACAGGACUUGGUGCAGGCUUGUAAGAUUCUGGCAGAAUCAUACGCUUAAUGGAAAACCUGUGUGUGUUGUACGUAAAGGAUUAAAUAUGAUUAAGUUCUGUUUCUUGGACAUGUUUUCUGAUUUUUAGAGCAGGGAAGGUGGAAAUGGGCAAGCCUAUGAAUAUUGAUUAUGGUAAUGGAGGCUGGGCGUCCUGACCCGCGGUGGAGACUGGAGCCACUUUGCCCCAGCAGGGAUGACAGAGCUCGCGAGAGAGAGGUGACCCUGAGCAGCCAUUGUGAUCUCUUUGCCCACGUGGUUCUGUAAAAGACAGAUUUCCCCAGGAGACGUCUGCUGCAAUCUGCGUUUUUAAAGGCUUGAGCAGAGACAAUACCUUAGAAAAGCAGUGGUUGUUUUUGCUGCAUUAAUGGAACAAAUUUUUUGCGGUGUUCAUUGUUAAUGGGAUGAAAAAAUACAGAAACCCACAUUGCAUUUGAUUAUCAGUUGUACCAUCUGAUGACAGUUUAAUAUCACUAUACAGUACAAGCUUUUUUGUGAUGAGCAAUAAUUAACAUAAAGGUACCGAAAGAUUCAAUGAUGCCUCUGCCAGUCCACCUGCUCAGGCUCUGAAGUCUGCAUUUGGCCUAGUACAGUAUACCCUGAUGUACUGAUCCCUUUGUGUUCAGGAUAAAAUUUGGAAAGUGUAGCCAUUUUGACAAACAAGUCCAUCUGAGAUGCUGUACCUGUAAAGGUCUGAUUCUUGCCAGAAAUCAAGACAGUUAAAUGAAAAUAUCAAUAACAAUACCUACAGAAAGAAGUACUGGAAAUCAAUUUUAAUACCAAUUUUGCAAGAAUGGAUAAUUAAAUUGUGUUAUUUAAGAAUUGAAAAAAGCUGGACACUGGAAAGGUGCAGAACUAUACAAUUUCAAGAAUACACAGUAAUGCCAACUUUGUAUGGAAUUUGAUUGUAUGGAUUGCAGUAGGUGGGUAGAGGAAGCCAAUAACUGUUCUGUGGAUAUUGUUGUGAGUUAUUGUGCUGUGUAAUAAGCUGUCAUUGUCAUUAUGUCUUGGGUGUUUUCCUUUUUUGUGUAUUUUGUGAUAUGUUUAAUGUUACUUGACUAUUAUUUUAAAACAAUAAAAACAUUCUUAUAAAAAAGAUUUACAGGAAGCAAUUAAACUACGAU